CUCUAAGGAGACUGCCGGUGACAAACCGGAGGAAGGUGGGGAUGACGUCAAGUCAUCAUGGCCCUUACGGCCAGGGCUACACACGUGCUACAAUGGUCGGUACAAAGGGUUGCCAAGUCGCGAGGCGGAGCUAAUCCCAGAAAACCGAUCGUAGUCCGGAUCGCAGUCUGCAACUCGACUGCGUGAAGUCGGA
RNAcentral lists this ribosomal RNA (193 nucleotides) under Azotobacter sp. RNAcentral describes it as "partial 16S ribosomal RNA". It matches the Rfam family "Bacterial small subunit ribosomal RNA", at positions 1138 to 1330 of the family's 1533-position model. Lineage: Bacteria; Pseudomonadati; Pseudomonadota; Gammaproteobacteria; Pseudomonadales; Pseudomonadaceae. The record is from RNAcentral.